AUUGAACGCUGGCGGCAGGCCUAACACAUGCAAGUCGAGCGGUAGAGAGGUGCUUGCACCUCUUGAGAGCGGCGGACGGGUGAGUAAUGCCUAGGAAUCUGCCUGGUAGUGGGGGAUAACGCUCGGAAACGGACGCUAAUACCGCAUACGUCCUACGGGAGAAAGCAGGGGACCUUCGGGCCUUGCGCUAUCAGAUGAGC
This 200-nucleotide ribosomal RNA is filed under the name uncultured bacterium. RNAcentral's name for it is "partial 16S ribosomal RNA". It matches the Rfam family "Bacterial small subunit ribosomal RNA", at positions 30 to 230 of the family's 1533-position model. The record is from RNAcentral.